Molecule: ribosomal RNA, 491 nt
Filed under: uncultured bacterium
Lineage: Bacteria
Description: partial 16S ribosomal RNA
Rfam family: Bacterial small subunit ribosomal RNA
Source: RNAcentral
GUGAACGCUGGCGGUAGGCCUAACACCUGCCAGUCGAACGGCAGCACAGUAAGAGCUUGCUCUUACGGGUGGCGAGUGGCGGACGGGUGAGGAAUACAUCGGAAUCUACUUUUUCGUGGGGGAUAACGUAGGGAAACUUACGCUAAUACCGCAUACGACCUACGGGUGAAAGCAGGGGAUCUUCGGACCUUGCGCGAUUGAAUGAGCCGAUGUCGGAUUAGCUAGUUGGCGGGGUAAAGGCCCACCAAGGCGACGAUCCGUAGCUGGGCUGAGAGGAUGAUCAGCCACACUGGAACUGAGACACGGUCCAGACUCCUACGGGAGGCAGCAGUGGGGAAUAUUGGACAAUGGGCGCAAGCCUGAUCCAGCCAUACCGCGUGGGUGAAGAAGGCCUUCGGGUUGUAAAGCCCUUUUGUUGGGAAAGAAAAGCAGCAGGUUAAUACCCCGCUGUUCUGACGGUACCCAAAGAAUAAGCACCGGCUAACUUCGUG